AUUGAACGCUGGCGGCAGGCCUAACACAUGCAAGUCGAGCGGAUGAAGGGAGCUUGCUCCUGGAUUCAGCGGCGGACGGGCGAGUAAUGCCUAGGAAUCUGCCUGGUAGUGGGGGAUAACGUCCGGAAACGGGCGCUAAUACCGCAUACGUCCUGAGGGUGAAAGUGGGGGAUCUUCGGACCUCACGCUAUCAGUUGAGCCUAGGUCGGAUUAGCUAGUUGGUGGGGUAAAGGCCUACCAAGGCGACGAUCCGUAACUGGUCUGAGAGGAUGAUCAGUCACACUGGAACUGAGACACGGUCCAGACUCCUACGGGAGGCAGCAGUGGGGAAUAUUGGACAAUGGGCGAAAGCCUGAUCCAGCCAUGCCGCGUGUGUGAAGAAGGUCUUCGGAUUGUAAAGCACUUUAAGUUGGGAGGAAGGGCAGUAAGUUAAUACCUUGCUGUUUUGACGUUACCAACAGAAUAAGCACCGGCUAACUUCGUG
Molecule: ribosomal RNA, 484 nt
Filed under: uncultured bacterium
Lineage: Bacteria
Description: partial 16S ribosomal RNA
Rfam family: Bacterial small subunit ribosomal RNA
Source: RNAcentral